AUCCCGCGUCGCUGUUGUCGCUGUUGCAGCCGAGUUCAGCCGGGAGCAGAGCGAACCGCACCGGCCCGAGCGGAGCGCCGCACGUUCCCAACCGCGAGGCCAGGUGGGGUCUCACUCUGUUGCCCAAGCUGGAGUGCAGUGGCACAAUCUCGCCUCACUGCAACCGCCGCCUCCCAGGCCCAAGCAAUUCUCCCACCUCAGCCUUCUGAGUAGCCAGGACCGCAAGUGUGCAACAUCAAGCCUGGACAUCUGACUGUUGGUGUGAGACCAGUGCUCCUGGUGGUGUGCCCUGAGCCAUGGAGGCGCCUUUGCAGACAGAGAUGGUGGAGCUGGUGCCCAAUGGCAAACACUCAGAGGGGCUGCUCCCGGUCAUCACCCCCAUGGCAGGCAACCAGAGGUCGAGGACCCUGCACGGAGCUGUAUGGAGGGCAAGAGCUUCCUACAGAAAAGUCCCAGCAAGGAGCCACACUUCACUGACUUCGAGGGGAAGACAUCAUUCGGGAUGUCAGUGUUCAACCUCAGCAAUGCCAUCAUGGGCAGCGGCAUCCUGGGACUCGCCUAUGCCAUGGCCAAUACGGGCAUU
RNAcentral lists this long non-coding RNA (583 nucleotides) under Homo sapiens (human). RNAcentral's name for it is "long non-coding RNA NONHSAT089796.2". The record is from RNAcentral. Lineage: Eukaryota; Metazoa; Chordata; Mammalia; Primates; Hominidae.